RNA transcript from Octodon degus (degu), 555 nucleotides. It is a transcript of the gene named heat shock protein HSP 90-alpha A2-like, with no coding region annotated. The transcript is spliced from 2 exons. The record is from RefSeq and is a predicted model, not a curated record. Lineage: Eukaryota; Metazoa; Chordata; Mammalia; Rodentia; Octodontidae.
UGCCAGGAUGCCGGAGGAGACCCAGACCCAGGACCAGCCCAUGAAGGAGGAGGAGGUGAGACCUUCGCCUUCCAGGCGGAGAUCACGCAGCUCAUGUCCCUGAUCAUCAACACCUUUUACUCAAACAAAGAAAUCUUCCUGCGGGAGUUGAUUUCCAACUCGUCCGAUGCUUUGGACAAAAAACGGUACGAAAGCCUGACAGACCCCAGUAAGCUCAACUCCGGCAAGGAGCUGCACAUCAACCUCAUUCCAAACAAGCAAGAUCGCACCCUCACCAUCGUGGACACUGGGAUUGGGAUGACCAAGGCCGACCUGAUCAAUAACCUCGGCACCAUAGCCAAGUCGGGCACCAAGGCCUUCAUGGAGGCUUUGCAGGCAGGUGCCGACAUCUCCAUGAUUGGCCAGUUCGGUGUGGGUUUCUACUCUGCUUACCUGGUUGCUGAGAAAGUGACUGUGAUCACCAACAUACUUCUGAGUCCCAUGCUCACUGCAGCCUUUAUUAGGUUUUACUGGAUGAGAAUAAAACAACCAGACAAACUCACUCCGGCAGUAUAA